Molecule: ribosomal RNA, 779 nt
Filed under: Planktothricoides raciborskii
Lineage: Bacteria; Bacillati; Cyanobacteriota; Cyanophyceae; Oscillatoriales; Oscillatoriaceae
Description: bacterial SSU rRNA
Rfam family: Bacterial small subunit ribosomal RNA
Source: RNAcentral
UAUAAAAGAGGGGUGGAAACUGCUCAGGAUGAACGCUGGCGGUCUGCUUAACACAUGCAAGUCGAACGGAAUCCUUCGGGAUUUAGUGGCGGACGGGUGAGUAACACGUGAGAAUCUGCACUCAGGAUGGGGACAACAGCGGGAAACUGCUGCUAAUACCCAAUGUGCCGAAAGGUAAAAGAUUUAUCGCCUGAGAAUGAGCUCGCGGCCGAUUAGUUAGUUGGUGGGGUAAUGGCCUACCAAGACGGCGAUCGGUAGCUGGUCUGAGAGGAUGAGCAGCCACACUGGGACUGAGACACGGCCCAGACUCCUACGGGAGGCAGCAGUGGGGAAUUUUCCGCAAUGGGCGCAAGCCUGACGGAGCAAGACCGCGUGGGGGAGGAAGGCUCUUGGGUUGUAAACCCCUUUUCUCAGGGAAGAAGUUCUGACGGUACCUGAGGAAUCAGCCUCGGCUAACUCCGUGCCAGCAGCCGCGGUAAUACGGAGGAGGCAAGCGUUAUCCGGAAUUAUUGGGCGUAAAGCGUCCGUAGGUGGUGGGGCAAGUCGGCGGUUAAAGACUGGGGCUUAACUCCAGAAAGGCCGUGGAAACUGCACCACUAGAGGGCAGUAGGGGUAGAGGGAAUUCCCGGUGUAGCGGUGAAAUGCGUAGAGAUCGGGAAGAACACCAGUGGCGAAAGCGCUCUACUGGACUGCAACUGACACUCAGGGACGAAAGCUAGGGGAGCGAAUGGGAUUAGAUACCCCAGUAGUCCUAGCCGUAAACGAUGAAGCUAGGUCCG